UUAAGUUAUUAAGGGCGCACGGUGGAUGCCUUGGCACUAGAAGCCAAUGAAGGACGUUACUAACGACGAUAUGCUUUGGGGAGCUGUAAGUAAGCUUUGAUCCAGAGAUUUCCGAAUGGGGAAACCCAGCAUGAGUUAUGUCAUGUUAUCGAUAUGUGAAUACAUAGCAUAUCAGAAGGCACACCCGGAGAACUGAAACAUCUUAGUACCCGGAGGAAGAGAAAGAAAAUUCGAUUCCCUUAGUAGCGGCGAGCGAAACGGGAAGAGCCCAAACCAACAAGCUUGCUUGUUGGGGUUGUAGGACACUCUAUACGGAGUUACAAAGGACGACAUUAGACGAAUCAUCUGGAAAGAUGAAUCAAAGAAGGUAAUAAUCCUGUAGUCGAAAAUGUUGUCUCUCUUGAGUGGAUCCUGAGUACGACGGAGCACGUGAAAUUCCGUCGGAAUCUGGGAGGACCAUCUCCUAAGGCUAAAUACUCUCUAGUGACCGAUAGUGAACCAGUACCGUGAGGGAAAGGUGAAAAGCACCCCGGAAGGGGAGUGAAAUAGAACCUGAAACCGUGUGCUUACAAGUAGUCAGAGCCCGUUAAUGGGUGAUGGCGUGCCUUUUGUAGAAUGAACCGGCGAGUUACGAUUUGAUGCAAGGUUAAGCAGUAAAUGUGGAGCCGUAGCGAAAGCGAGUCUGAAUAGGGCGUUUAGUAUUUGGUCGUAGACCCGAAACCAGGUGAUCUACCCUUGGUCAGGUUGAAGUUCAGGUAACACUGAAUGGAGGACCGAACCGACUUACGUUGAAAAGUGAGCGGAUGAACUGAGGGUAGCGGAGAAAUUCCAAUCGAACCUGGAGAUAGCUGGUUCUCUCCGAAAUAGCUUUAGGGCUAGCCUCAAGUGAUGAUUAUUGGAGGUAGAGCACUGUUUGGACGAGGGGCCCCUCUCGGGUUACCGAAUUCAGACAAACUCCGAAUGCCAAUUAAUUUAACUUGGGAGUCAGAACGUGGGUGAUAAGGUCCGUGUUCGAAAGGGAAACAGCCCAGACCACCAGCUAAGGUCCCAAAAUAUAUGUUAAGUGGAAAAGGAUGUGGCGUUGCCCAGACAACUAGGAUGUUGGCUUAGAAGCAGCCAUCAUUUAAAGAGUGCGUAAUAGCUCACUAGUCGAGUGACACUGCGCCGAAAAUGUACCGGGGCUAAACAUAUUACCGAAGCUGUGGAUUGUCCUUUGGACAAUGGUAGGAGAGCGUUCUAAGGGCGUUGAAGCAUGAUCGUAAGGACAUGUGGAGCGCUUAGAAGUGAGAAUGCCGGUGUGAGUAGCGAAAGACGGGUGAGAAUCCCGUCCACCGAUUGACUAAGGUUUCCAGAGGAAGGCUCGUCCGCUCUGGGUUAGUCGGGUCCUAAGCUGAGGCCGACAGGCGUAGGCGAUGGAUAACAGGUUGAUAUUCCUGUACCACCUAUAAUCGUUUUAAUCGAUGGGGGGACGCAGUAGGAUAGGCGAAGCGUGCGAUUGGAUUGCACGUCUAAGCAGUAAGGCUGAGUAUUAGGCAAAUCCGGUACUCGUUAAGGCUGAGCUGUGAUGGGGAGAAGACAUUGUGUCUUCGAGUCGUUGAUUUCACACUGCCGAGAAAAGCCUCUAGAUAGAAAAUAGGUGCCCGUACCGCAAACCGACACAGGUAGUCAAGAUGAGAAUUCUAAGGUGAGCGAGCGAACUCUCGUUAAGGAACUCGGCAAAAUGACCCCGUAACUUCGGGAGAAGGGGUGCUCUUUAGGGUUAACGCCCAGAAGAGCCGCAGUGAAUAGGCCCAAGCGACUGUUUAUCAAAAACACAGGUCUCUGCUAAACCGUAAGGUGAUGUAUAGGGGCUGACGCCUGCCCGGUGCUGGAAGGUUAAGAGGAGUGGUUAGCUUCUGCGAAGCUACGAAUCGAAGCCCCAGUAAACGGCGGCCGUAACUAUAACGGUCCUAAGGUAGCGAAAUUCCUUGUCGGGUAAGUUCCGACCCGCACGAAAGGCGUAACGAUUUGGGCACUGUCUCAACGAGAGACUCGGUGAAAUCAUAGUACCUGUGAAGAUGCAGGUUACCCGCGACAGGACGGAAAGACCCCGUGGAGCUUUACUGUAGCCUGAUAUUGAAAUUCGGCACAGCUUGUACAGGAUAGGUAGGAGCCUUUGAAACGUGAGCGCUAGCUUACGUGGAGGCGCUGGUGGGAUACUACCCUAGCUGUGUUGGCUUUCUAACCCGCACCACUUAUCGUGGUGGGAGACAGUGUCAGGCGGGCAGUUUGACUGGGGCGGUCGCCUCCUAAAAGGUAACGGAGGCGCUCAAAGGUUCCCUCAGAAUGGUUGGAAAUCAUUCAUAGAGUGUAAAGGCAUAAGGGAGCUUGACUGCGAGACCUACAAGUCGAGCAGGGUCGAAAGACGGACUUAGUGAUCCGGUGGUUCCGCAUGGAAGGGCCAUCGCUCAACGGAUAAAAGCUACCCCGGGGAUAACAGGCUUAUCUCCCCCAAGAGUUCACAUCGACGGGGAGGUUUGGCACCUCGAUGUCGGCUCAUCGCAUCCUGGGGCUGUAGUCGGUCCCAAGGGUUGGGCUGUUCGCCCAUUAAAGCGGUACGCGAGCUGGGUUCAGAACGUCGUGAGACAGUUCGGUCCCUAUCCGUCGUGGGCGUAGGAAAUUUGAGAGGAGCUGUCCUUAGUACGAGAGGACCGGGAUGGACAUACCUCUGGUGUACCAGUUGUCGUGCCAACGGCAUAGCUGGGUAGCUAUGUGUGGACGGGAUAAGUGCUGAAAGCAUCUAAGCAUGAAGCCCCCCUCAAGAUGAGAUUUCCCAACUUCGGUUAUAAGAUCCCUCAAAGAUGAUGAGGUUAAUAGGUUCGAGGUGGAAGCAUGGUGACAUGUGGAGCUGACGAAUACUAAUCGAUCGAAGACUUAAUCAA
This 2921-nucleotide ribosomal RNA is filed under the name Staphylococcus aureus. RNAcentral's name for it is "bacterial LSU rRNA". It matches the Rfam family "Bacterial large subunit ribosomal RNA". The record is from RNAcentral. Lineage: Bacteria; Bacillati; Bacillota; Bacilli; Caryophanales; Staphylococcaceae.